GGGCGCUUAGCUCAGCUGGCGAGAGCACUUCCCUUACAAGGAAGGGGUCGUGGGUUCGAGUCCCUCAGCGCCCA
RNAcentral lists this transfer RNA (74 nucleotides) under Actinomycetota bacterium. Its description in RNAcentral is "tRNA-Val". It matches the Rfam family "tRNA". From Rfam's summary of the family: Transfer RNA (tRNA) molecules are approximately 80 nucleotides in length. The record is from RNAcentral. Lineage: Bacteria; Bacillati; Actinomycetota.